RNAcentral lists this ribosomal RNA (535 nucleotides) under uncultured organism. RNAcentral's name for it is "bacterial SSU rRNA". It matches the Rfam family "Bacterial small subunit ribosomal RNA", at positions 124 to 693 of the family's 1533-position model. The record is from RNAcentral.
AUCUGCCUUCAGGAGGGGGAUAACGACUGGAAACGGUCGCUAAUACCCCAUAUGCCUCCGGGUGAAAAGUAAUUCGCCUGAAGAUGAGCUCGCGUCAGAUUAGCUAGUUGGUGGGGUAAGAGCCUACCAAGGCGACGAUCUGUAGCUGGUCUGAGAGGAUGAUCAGCCACAGUGGGACUGAGACACGGCCCAGACUCCUACGGGAGGCAGCAGUGGGGAAUUUUCCGCAAUGGGCGCAAGCCUGACGGAGCAAGACCGCGUGGGGGAUGACGGCCUAAUGGUUGUAAACCCCUUUUCUCUGGGAAGAAGACUGACGGUACCAGAGGAAUCAGCCUCGGCUAACUCCGUGCCAGCAGCCGCGGUAAUACGGAGGAGGCAAGCGUUAUCCGGAAUUAUUGGGCGUAAAGCGUCCGUAGGUGGUUAUUCAAGUCUGCUGUCAAAGCGUGGGGCUUAACUCCAUAGAGGCAGUGGAAACUGAGUGACUAGAGUGCGGUAGGGGUCGAGGGAAUUCCCAGUGUAGCGGUGAAAUGCGUAG